AUUCCAGUGGGAGUAACACCCAGAUCCUCUGUAUGUAAAAAGGAAUUGAAGAAAGGAUUGGAGGUCUUAAAGGGGGUCUCACCACUGCAGCCAUCAUCAAAAGUGGUUAUUACCGGGACUCAUAUUGUGAAUUGCAGCUCCAGCUCGACUGCAAGAACAAACCAGCAAUCCCGAGAGGACCCACAGACCCUCUAAAGGAAGUGGACUGCUCCUGCAGGACCUGGGAGACACCCCAAAUAUUGUCUAUAAACUCAAUUUUAGGAAGUCAAGUAUCUUCCCGAAAGUCACACAAGUAAAGAUGGACUUGGGUCUCUAAUCCAUUUGUUUGACUUCAAAACAUGUUAUCUCCAUUCCACUACCUCUUCUGUUCAGUGGAAUGAAAGAGGUUAAAACAGUUCACAGGGUCCAUGGAGUGAAUGAAAAAUGAAAAUGGGAAGAUAAAAUACAGAUUAUAGUUUUCAAGGAUUGGAGCUGGAAGGAGUUGCCUGUUUGAGAGCUGUGUUAAGGUCUGAGAAACAUGUGCAUGUUGUGCACUGCAAGAAAGGAAUCAAGAGGAAGGAGAGGAUGGAGAUAUAGAAGAUGAAAAUCAGCCAGAGUAACAAGGCUCCAGGAAAGCCACAUGGCUAUGUGCAUCCCUUAGAGAAACAAAUU
This 651-nucleotide long non-coding RNA is filed under the name Homo sapiens (human). Its description in RNAcentral is "HSALNT0135225". Lineage: Eukaryota; Metazoa; Chordata; Mammalia; Primates; Hominidae. The record is from RNAcentral.